GGGCCCUUAGCUCAGUGGUAGAGCGUUCGGCUCAUAACCGAAUGGUCGCAGGUUCGAUUCCUGCAGGGCCUACCA
Molecule: transfer RNA, 75 nt
Filed under: Hydrogenibacillus schlegelii
Lineage: Bacteria; Bacillati; Bacillota; Bacilli; Thermicanales; Thermicanaceae
Description: tRNA-Ile
Rfam family: tRNA
About the family: Transfer RNA (tRNA) molecules are approximately 80 nucleotides in length. Their secondary structure includes four short double-helical elements and three loops (D, anti-codon, and T loops).
Source: RNAcentral